CGGAGAGUUUGAUCCUGGCUCAGGACGAACGCUGGCGGCGUGCCUAAUACAUGCAAGUCGAACGCUUUGUGGUUCAACUGAAUUGAAGAGCUUGCUCAGAUAUGACGGUGGACAUUGCAAAGAGUGGCGAACGGGUGAGUAACACGUGGGAAACCUACCUCUUAGCAGGGGAUAACAUUUGGAAACAGAUGCUAAUACCGUAUAACAAUAGCAACCGCAUGGUUGCUACUUAAAAGAUGGUUCUGCUAUCACUAAGAGAUGGUCCCGCGGUGCAUUAGUUAGUUGGUGAGGUAAUGGCUCACCAAGACGAUGAUGCAUAGCCGAGUUGAGAGACUGAUCGGCCACAAUGGGACUGAGACACGGCCCAUACUCCUACGGGAGGCAGCAGUAGGGAAUCUUCCACAAUGGGCGAAAGCCUGAUGGAGCAACGCCGCGUGUGUGAUGAAGGGUUUCGGCUCGUAAAACACUGUUGUAAGAGAAGAAUGACAUUAAGAGUAACUGUUCAAUGUGUGACGGUAUCUUACCAGAAAGGAACGGCUAAAUACGUGCCAGCAGCCGCGGUAAUACGUAUGUUCCAAGCGUUAUCCGGAUUUAUUGGGCGUAAAGCGAGCGCAGACGGUUAUUUAAGUCUGAAGUGAAAGCCCUCAGCUCAACUGAGGAAUUGCUUUGGAAACUGGAUGACUUGAGUGCAGUAGAGGAAAGUGGAACUCCAUGUGUAGCGGUGAAAUGCGUAGAUAUAUGGAAGAACACCAGUGGCGAAGGCGGCUUUCUGGACUGUAACUGACGUUGAGGCUCGAAAGUGUGGGUAGCAAACAGGAUUAGAUACCCUGGUAGUCCACACCGUAAACGAUGAGUGCUAG
RNAcentral lists this ribosomal RNA (860 nucleotides) under uncultured bacterium. Its description in RNAcentral is "bacterial SSU rRNA". It matches the Rfam family "Bacterial small subunit ribosomal RNA", at positions 1 to 819 of the family's 1533-position model. The record is from RNAcentral.